Molecule: transfer RNA, 77 nt
Filed under: Terriglobia bacterium
Lineage: Bacteria; Pseudomonadati; Acidobacteriota; Terriglobia
Description: tRNA-Arg
Rfam family: tRNA
About the family: Transfer RNA (tRNA) molecules are approximately 80 nucleotides in length. Their secondary structure includes four short double-helical elements and three loops (D, anti-codon, and T loops).
Source: RNAcentral
GGGCCUGUAGCUCAGCUGGAUAGAGUCACGGUUUCCUAAACCGUUGGUCGGGGGUUCGAAUCCCUCCAGGCCUACCA